UGGGGAAUUUUGCACAAUGGGGGAAACCCUGAUGCAGCGACGCCGCGUGAUUUAGAAGGCCUUCGGGUUGUAAAAAUCUUUUUUACGGGAUGAAAAUGACAGUACCGUAAGAAUAAGGUCCGGCUAAAUACGUGCCAGCAGCCGCGGUAAUACGUAUGGACCGAGCGUUGUCCGGAAUCAUUGGGGGUAAAGGGUACGUAGGCGGCAUAGUAAGUUAGAAGUGAAAUAAUAUAGCUCAAAUAUAUAAAGCUUUUAAAACUGCUAGGCUUGAGAGAUGGAAGAGGAAGUGGAAUUCCUAGUGUAGCGGUGAAAUGCGCAGAUGUUAGGAAGAAUACCGGUGGCGAAGGCGACUUUCUGGUCAUCAUCUGACGCUGAGGUACGAAAGCGUGGGUAGCAAACAGG
RNAcentral lists this ribosomal RNA (402 nucleotides) under bacterium. Its description in RNAcentral is "partial 16S ribosomal RNA". It matches the Rfam family "Bacterial small subunit ribosomal RNA", at positions 355 to 776 of the family's 1533-position model. The record is from RNAcentral.